CGGGGAGUGAGCAGGUUCAGCAGUGACGGGCGGAAAGCCUUGAGGGUGGGCUUCUUGGAUCCCAAUUGCCGCAGAGGCACAGGCCUGGGCAUCACUGUAUUAUUUCCCGAGGGGAGAAGGGGCUAUUUCCCAUGGGAAGACCAAGUGGGAUGAAUAGUGGACCUUGAGAAGAGGGGGUGGCCAGGAAAAGGUUCCUGAAGGAGGCAGGAGCCAGACUGCAGGCUGGGGAGGGUUUGGGCAGCCAGAGGGAGGUGAGGGUGCUGGAGCGGGGGUCAAUCGGUCACUCCGGCCGGAGAUCUGAGUGGCCUCUGCCCCCUCUGCGCUGUGGAGUGCAUCUGAUUGCCAGCCUCGCUGGACCGUUGAGAGGAUUCAUCGAGACCCUGGAUAUGAAUAUGCAGUGUGAACUGAAGUUUGGGGACAUGAGUAAUCAGUCACAGUGGCCCAAGAUUUGAGGUGUAAAUGGAGAAGUCAGAAUGAUUCGCUGCAGCUGUCUGGAACAGGUUGGGUGAGGGUAAGGGUGGGAAAGGUGGCUGAGGCCAGGUUGUGAGAGGCCUUUCAUGGCAGGCUGAGGGGGUUAUACUAUAGGGAGGAUUUUAAGCAGAGGAGCUGGUGGACUGGUGAGCAGGGCAUAUAGGUGACACCUAGCCAACUUGAGAGGUCAGAAUACAUGAUUCCAGAAGGCUAAGGAGAAGGCUGCCAGUAGAGUAAAGGGGAAGAAUUCCCAGGGCGAGGAAAACACAUAAGCCUUUGCGUGUGGAGCUGUGUAAAUUCAAGGUCUGGCCAGGGGGCUGUGAGAUGCCGUGUGUGCUUGGAGCACAGGAAUGAGAAGUGAGGUGAGGAAGUGGCUGGGCCACCUCACAAAGGGCCUCAAAUUCUAGGCUGAGAAACUCGGACUUGGUCCUGAGGGUAAAGGGGGCCGGGAGAAUGUUAUGCAUGGUGCUGAAUUUGCAUUCAACACAGCUGUGAAAAGCAUCUGUCAGGGUCAGGCCAGUGUGGGAGGGGAACUGGAGGCCAG
This 1015-nucleotide long non-coding RNA is filed under the name Pan troglodytes (chimpanzee). RNAcentral describes it as "long non-coding RNA NONPTRT008237". Lineage: Eukaryota; Metazoa; Chordata; Mammalia; Primates; Hominidae. The record is from RNAcentral.